This 1104-nucleotide long non-coding RNA is filed under the name Capra hircus (goat). RNAcentral describes it as "lncRNA (ENSCHIG00000007579.1)". Lineage: Eukaryota; Metazoa; Chordata; Mammalia; Artiodactyla; Bovidae. The record is from RNAcentral.
GUGCUUGCCCCUGGAGUUUACUGAAGUAAACUUUGACCCCUGUUUUGUGGGGUUAGGGUUCUUGCUUGUCAUAACUGGAAACAGAGUGCCAGAACAAAGUUUUCAGUAUCGGAUGUCUCAAGGGACGUGUGUGGGGAGAUAACCUGGUGUGACUUGAAUUUCUGAAUAGAUAUGGAAUAUUCUUCGAUGCAAGUGUUCACCGAAACUCUUCCUAGAGAAGAACUUGUUUUCUGAAAGUUUAAAAGAGAGUCAUUUACUUAAGGCAAUGCGUUUAUUCAACAGAUUGGUAAAGGGACUACUUGUUUCUUUCUAAGAAACUUGUUUUUGGACACUGCAGCAGGUACUGUUUGGAGAGAAGUAAAGAUUUGGAACUGAAAAUUCUGGAUAAAUGCCUGUGGUUGGAAGCAUCCUGUAAACCGGCCCCAGAUGAAGAGGUACAGGCUGCCCUGAGCAGGUGGAGGGCUCCGUUCUGUGUGGCUUGGACCUGGAGAUGGGAGCCCUGUUCCAGUGGCUGCUGCCUCCCUCGCCGUGAGAAAGACGGAAUAGUAACAGCCCGUAAAGAUCUUCCUGAUGCUCGGACCUCAGCAAGCUCUGGAAACCAGGAGGCCCCAUCCCAGAGCCCAUGCACUCCACAGAGGCAAGGGGCCCGCUGGAUCUUUGGAUGUUCCAGGUUGCACGUAGGGGCUUCCUCCUUGUAGAAGCCUAGGGCUCCAGAGACAGCCCUGGGGUAUUUCCACACCAGAGCUGGGAACAAUCAGGGGCCUGGCGCAUCAGGAAAGUGGCCGGGGAGGCCCCAGCCUCCGCUCCUUGCAGGGCAAGGCCCUGGCUCCCAGGGCCUGGCUGUGGGCCAGCGUCCAGGCCUACCCUUUCCUCCCACUCGCGUGGAUCCCUGGGGUCUGCCCACCGCUCCCGGUUCUCAACAGCCAGGCUGCAGGGAGAGUUUGAGGGAGACCACCCAAGGCAAACAAGGACGACGACCGUGAUGCUUGCUCUGAUUCCCCGUGGGAUUCAUGUCACAUGCAUAAACAGCUCACAAAGCUUAUAUUCAUAGAAACGCUUAGGAUGUGGAAUUGGAGCCAGAGGGUUCUGUGGACAGUCAGGGAG